UACGGAGGGUGCAAGCGUUAAUCGGAAUUACUGGGCGUAAAGCGCACGCAGGUGGCUGAGUCAGUCGAUUGUGAAAGCCCUGGGCUUAACCUGGGAAUUGCAGUCGAUACUACUCAGCUAGAGUAUGGGAGAGGGUAGUGGAAUUCCCGGUGUAGCGGUGAAAUGCGUAGAUAUCUGGAGGAACACCGGUGGCGAAGGCGGCAUCCUGGACCAACACUGACGCUGAGGCGCGAAAGCUAGGGGAGCAAACAGG
Molecule: ribosomal RNA, 253 nt
Filed under: uncultured bacterium
Lineage: Bacteria
Description: partial 16S ribosomal RNA
Rfam family: Bacterial small subunit ribosomal RNA
Source: RNAcentral